Molecule: long non-coding RNA, 1865 nt
Filed under: Gossypium barbadense (sea-island cotton)
Lineage: Eukaryota; Viridiplantae; Streptophyta; Magnoliopsida; Malvales; Malvaceae
Description: long non-coding RNA (GBAR_LNC020466)
Source: RNAcentral
GACACCAUAGCUAGAGUUUCUUUGCUUUUUCAAGCUCAUAGUAAGUGCAUCCUAGCCCCAUUUUUAAUGUUCUUUGCAUUUUUGAGAUUCCCGUAGCUCGGUUUAUCUAUUUCUACUGUUAUUUUGAGCUAGGGUUGAAAUUUGAAAAAUUACCCAUGUGUGAAAUAUAUGUAUUUUGAUGUUUUAUGGAAGAAUGUAAAGCUAGAAUUUAUAUUAAACAACUUUUGCUAGCCGAUUUUAAGUGAAACCGAGCAAAAUAACAUAAUCGGUAAAAAUAUUUAAUGUUCAUAAGUAAGAGUUAGAGUGAGAAUUUGAUGUUACCAUAGAAGGAAAAAGUGUUCAGCAUGUUGUAAAACAUAAGAAUAAAGAAUGAAAUUUAAUUUUCGAACAUUGGGACAAAAAUGUAAAUAUGUAAAAGUUUAGGGACAGAAUUGUAAACUAUUGGAAAGUAAGAAUCUUUGUGGAACUGUUGGAAUGGUAAAGAUUUGAAUAAAGUAUCGAUGAACACGUGUGUAGUACUAAGUGAAGGCUACUACGUAUAUCGAUAAAUAAUGGUCACAUGUGUAGUACUAAGUGAAGGCUACUAUGUGUACCGAAAAGCUUUGGUCACGUGUGUAGUACUAUGUGAAGGCUAUUACGUGAACCGUAAAACUUGAUCACGUGUGUAAUACUAUGUGAAGGCUACUAUGUGUAUCGAAUGAUAAUAGUAACAUGGGUGGUACUAUCUGAAAACCCCCAAAUAUUUCUUGUUAUACCGACAUGUUCAACGAGAUAUGAGUAUGUGAUUGAAAUGUGAUAAGUUGCGAAAGAGUGACUGAAGUAAUGAAGUCUUGUAUUGUGUUAUAAAAUAAAUGGUUAUAGUGCUAUGUGAAUGAGAGAUGUUGGAAUAGAAUAGAUUUGGACAGUGACAGUGAUGUUAGUUUGAAAAAUCACCAAAAAAUUAUAGGAAUUGAGUUAGUGGUUGAAUAAGACAUGGAAUUAAAGCUUAAUGAGUUUACUUUCACAUAAAAGAGAAAGAACGGCCAAAGGAGUUAUAUAUUCUAAGAUAUUGAAAUUUUAGUGAGACAAUGUCUGAAUGAUUUCGAAAUCCUCUAUUCUAACUUUUGAAAAUCACUAAAAAUUGUACAAAAAUAAUUAUGUUUUUUAAUUUACAUUCUUAAAUUUCUUAUUGAGUCUAUUUUCAAAAGAAAUAAGUGGGAACAUCAUUUGAAUUAUGUACUAAGAGAUAACUGAAUUUUAGUGAAGAGAGGUCAGAAAUGUCAAGUAGAGAAACAGGGGAAUCUUUAGAGAAUAAACUGUAUUAAUUGGCUGAAUCAAAAAUUCUUAAAAUUUUAUGGUAAGAAUGUAUAUGAGUCUAGUUUCAGGAAAAAUUUACGGAUUUUAAUUUGGAGUUUUGUAGCUCCAGAUAAAAAUAAUUUAGUGACUGUGACGCAGAAAAACAGUUUGCUGGAAAUUGAAUACAUAAUAGAUUUAUGUGUGAUAAAAAAUAUAUUAUCCAUGAUAUCCUGCUAGAAAUUUAUUUAUCGAUUACAUACAUACUUACUAAGCUAUAUGCUUACCUUACUCCUGUUUAUUUUCCCUUGUUUUAUAGUGACAUCAAUCAGCUCGGAAAUUGAACGAGGUUAGAACAUCAUCCACACUAUCAUCAUCAUCUUGUGGGUAUUUUGCAACCAAUACUUUUGAAAUAUGGCAUGUAUAGAUGACUUAAUGUAAUGUGGUAUAAAUAUAUAUAUUGUUUGAUUUAAAAUGUUGGUGUAUAUUAGUUGAUAAAUUGUUUUCUUAAAACUACUAACAAAGUAUUUAGAAUGUUGUAGAUGGAUAAAUUGUGUCUGAACAUAUAACUGUAAAUGGUUGAAAUAUUGAAG